CCUACGGGAGGCAGCAGUGAGGAAUAUUGGUCAAUGGGCGAGAGCCUGAACCAGCCAAGUCGCGUGAGGGAGUACUGCCCUAUGGGUUGUAAACCUCUUUUGUCGGGGAGCAAAAGACGGACGUGUCCGGCUGUGAGAGUUCCCGAAGAAAAAGCAUCGGCUAACUCCGUGCCAGCAGCCGCGGUAAUACGGAGGAUGCGAGCGUUAUCAGGAUUUAUUGGGUUUAAAGGGUGCGCAGGCGGGUUUUUAAGUCAGCGGUAAAAUCGUGGGGCUCAACCCCAUCCAGCCGUUGAAACUGGGGAUCUAGAGUGUGCGAGAGGUAUGCGGAAUGCGUGGUGUAGCGGUGAAAUGCAUAGAUAUCACGCAGAACCCCGAUUGCGAAGGCAGCAUACCGGUGCACAACUGACGCUCAGGCACGAAAGCGUGGGUAUCGAACAGGAUUAGAUACCCUUGUAGUC
Molecule: ribosomal RNA, 458 nt
Filed under: uncultured bacterium
Lineage: Bacteria
Description: partial 16S ribosomal RNA
Rfam family: Bacterial small subunit ribosomal RNA
Source: RNAcentral